This 298-nucleotide long non-coding RNA is filed under the name Medicago truncatula (barrel medic). RNAcentral's name for it is "lncRNA gene9413". Lineage: Eukaryota; Viridiplantae; Streptophyta; Magnoliopsida; Fabales; Fabaceae. The record is from RNAcentral.
GGACAAACCGAGAGGACUAUUCAGACAUUAGAGGACAUGUUAAGGGCAUGUGUCUUGGACGAUCGGGGAAGCUAGGACAAUUUGUUACCACUUAUUGAAUUUACCUACAAUAACAAUUACCAUGCGAGCCUUGGAAUGGCGCCAUACGAGGCUCUGUAUGGGCGUAAAUGUUAGACACCAUUAUGUUGGUACAAGGACGGUGUGAGAGCAUGUUAGUAGGACCUGAGUUGGUACAACAGACGACUGAAAGGUUAGGUUAAUCGAUGAACAAAUGAAGACGUCCCAUAAAAGAUGGAAG